GGUCUUGCUGUGUCCCCUAGGCUGGAGUGCAGUGGUGCAGUCUCAAUUAUGCCAGAUGGCUCUGAGGUCCAAGUAAAAGAUAAUAUUUGCAACCAACUCACUGGAGUUGACCAUCAAAACUCUUUUCCAGGUGGAAAAGCACCCUGAAUCCAGCUUCCUGCUAUGAAUGAAUACUGACCUUGGGAUGGUGGA
This is a long non-coding RNA of Gorilla gorilla gorilla (western lowland gorilla), 192 nucleotides long. RefSeq lists it as uncharacterized. The transcript has 3 exons. The record is from RefSeq and is a predicted model, not a curated record. Lineage: Eukaryota; Metazoa; Chordata; Mammalia; Primates; Hominidae.